CGGCGUGCCUAAUACAUGCAAGUAGAACGCUGAAGAGAGGAGCUUGCUCUUCUUGGAUGAGUUGCGAACGGGUGAGUAACGCGUAGGUAACCUGCCUUGUAGCGGGGGAUAACUAUUGGAAACGAUAGCUAAUACCGCAUAACAAUGGAUGACACAUGUCAUUUAUUUGAAAGGGGCAAUUGCUCCACUACAAGAUGGACCUGCGUUGUAUUAGCUAGUAGGUGAGGUAACGGCUCACCUAGGCGACGAUACAUAGCCGACCUGAGAGGGUGAUCGGCCACACUGGGACUGAGACACGGCCCAGACUCCUACGGGAGGCAGCAGUAGGGAAUCUUCGGCAAUGGGGGCAACCCUGACCGAGCAACGCCGCGUGAGUGAAGAAGGUUUUCGGAUCGUAAAGCUCUGUUGUAAGUCAAGAACGAGUGUGAGAGUGGAAAGUUCACACUGUGACGGUAGCUUACCAGAAAGGGACGGCUAACUACGUGCCAGCAGCCGCGGUAAUACGUAGGUCCCGAGCGUUGUCCGGAUUUAUUGGGCGUAAAGCGAGCGCAGGCGGUUUGAUAAGUCUGAAGUUAAAGGCUGUGGCUCAACCAUAGUUCGCUUUGGAAACUGUCAAACUUGAGUGCAGAAGGGGAGAGUGGAAUUCCAUGUGUAGCGGUGAAAUGCGUAGAUAUAUGGAGGAACACCGGUGGCGAAAGCGGCUCUCUGGUCUGUAACUGACGCUGAGGCUCGAAAGCGUGGGGAGCGAACAGGAUUAGAUACCCUGGUAGUCCACGCCGUAAACGAUGAGUGCUAGGUGUUGGAUCCUUUCCGGGAUUCAGUGCCGCAGCUAACGCAUUAAGCACUCCGCCUGGGGAGUACGACCGCAAGGUUGAAACUCAAAGGAAUUGACGGGGGCCCGCACAAGCGGUGGAGCAUGUGGUUUAAUUCGAAGCAACGCGAAGAACCUUACCAGGUCUUGACAUCCCGAUGCUAUUUCUAGAGAUAGAAAGUUACUUCGGUACAUCGGUGACAGGUGGUGCAUGGUUGUCGUCAGCUCGUGUCGUGAGAUGUUGGGUUAAGUCCCGCAACGAGCGCAACCCCUAUUGUUAGUUGCCAUCAUUCAGUUGGGCACUCUAGCGAGACUGCCGGUAAUAAACCGGAGGAAGGUGGGGAUGACGUCAAAUCAUCAUGCCCCUUAUGACCUGGGCUACACACGUGCUACAAUGGUUGGUACAACGAGUUGCGAGCCGGUGACGGCAAGCUAAUCUCUUAAAGCCAAUCUCAGUUCGGAUUGUAGGCUGCAACUCGCCUACAUGAAGUCGGAAUCGCUAGUAAUCGCGGAUCAGCACGCCGCGGUGAAUACGUUCCCGGGCCUUGUACACACCGCCCGUCACACCACGAGAGUUUGUAACACCCGAAGUCGGUGAGGUAACCUUUUGGAGCCAGCCGCCUAAGGUGGGAUAGAUGAUUGGGGUGAAGUCAUAAC
RNAcentral lists this ribosomal RNA (1468 nucleotides) under uncultured organism. RNAcentral describes it as "SSU rRNA". It matches the Rfam family "Bacterial small subunit ribosomal RNA". The record is from RNAcentral.